GAUGAACGCUGGCGGCGUGCCUAAUACAUGCAAGUCGAGCGAACAGACGAGGAGCUUGCUCCUCUGACGUUAGCGGCGGACGGGUGAGUAACACGUGGAUAACCUACCUAUAAGACUGGGAUAACUUCGGGAAACCGGAGCUAAUACCGGAUAAUAUAUUGAACCGCAUGGUUCAAUAGUGAAAGACGGUUUUGCUGUCACUUAUAGAUGGAUCCGCGCCGCAUUAGCUAGUUGGUAAGGUAACGGCUUACCAAGGCGACGAUGCGUAGCCGACCUGGGAGGGUGAUCGGCCACCCUGGAACUGAGACACGGUCCAGACUCCUACGGGAGGCAGCAGUAGGGAAUCUUCCGCAAUGGGCGAAAGCCUGACGGAGCAACGCCGCGUGAGUGAUGAAGGUCUUCGGAUCGUAAAACUCUGUUAUUAGGGAAGAACAAAUGUGUAAGUAACUAUGCACGUCUUGACGGUACCUAAUCAGAAAGCCACGGCUAACUACGUG
Molecule: ribosomal RNA, 497 nt
Filed under: uncultured bacterium
Lineage: Bacteria
Description: partial 16S ribosomal RNA
Rfam family: Bacterial small subunit ribosomal RNA
Source: RNAcentral